This 253-nucleotide ribosomal RNA is filed under the name uncultured bacterium. RNAcentral describes it as "partial 16S ribosomal RNA". It matches the Rfam family "Bacterial small subunit ribosomal RNA", at positions 524 to 776 of the family's 1533-position model. The record is from RNAcentral.
UACGGGGGGGGCAAGCGUUGUUCGGAAUUACUGGGCGUAAAGGGCUGGUAGGCGGCCAACUAAGUCGGAUGUGAAAUCCCCAGGCUUAACCUGGGAACUGCAUCCGAUACUGGUCGGCUUGAAUCCGGGAGAGGGAUGCAGAAUUCCAGGUGUAGCGGUGAAAUGCGUAGAUAUCUGGAGGAAUACCGGUGGCGAAGGCGGCAUCCUGGACCGGCAUUGACACUGAACAGCGAAAGCUAGGGGAGCAAACGGG